GCAUGAGUGCCAGAUUAGAUGGGUUGGUUUUAAGCGCCGAUUAUGGGGUUUGUGCCUCCUUAUGUG
RNAcentral lists this transfer RNA (66 nucleotides) under Lyperosomum longicauda. RNAcentral's name for it is "tRNA-Leu". Lineage: Eukaryota; Metazoa; Platyhelminthes; Trematoda; Plagiorchiida; Dicrocoeliidae. The record is from RNAcentral.